UACAGAGGGUGCAAGCGUUAAUCGGAAUUAUUGGGCGUAAAGGGCUUGUAGGUGGUUGUAUAAGUUAGAUGUGAAAACCCUGGGCUCAACCCGGGACGUGCAUAUAAUACUGUAUGACUAGAGUAUGGUAGAGGAAAGGGGAAUUCCUGGUGUAGCAGUGAAAUGCGUAGAGAUCAGGAGGAACAUCGGUGGCGAAGGCGCCUUUCUGGACUAAUACUGACACUGAGGAGCGAAGGCGUGGGGAGCAAACAGG
RNAcentral lists this ribosomal RNA (253 nucleotides) under uncultured bacterium. RNAcentral describes it as "partial 16S ribosomal RNA". It matches the Rfam family "Bacterial small subunit ribosomal RNA", at positions 524 to 776 of the family's 1533-position model. The record is from RNAcentral.